CUGAAGUGCAGGUAAAAGGUGUUUAAAGAGGACUUUAUCUCGACUGUAGCUGCGGAAAUCAAGAUUAUGUUCCUGUCAGAGAUUCAGACGUAGCGGAGAAUAAAUCCGGAACGAUCUCCGUUUGUGUAUUGAACGACAAUAAAGAUAAGCACUAACCACUGAAACCAUAAUAAACUGGUCAUUGCCCCCCCACCAAAAAAAAGGGUUACACCUCCUCACUUCCACUUCAGGGAGGGGCAGGGACUCCAACCUCAUGCCGUUUGUUUUCCGUGUAGAGGAUCUGCUGUGUCUUGGGACCGAUGCAGACGCCUCCUCAGAUCUUCUCGGUCAGUGCCUGCUCUUGGGUCAGCAGAUUUUGUCGCUGUAAGUGGUCUCUGAUCCCUUCCACCGAUUUCAUCCCUCAUCGAUCCUGCAUCAGAAAAAACCCUCGUACCUUUCUUCCCUGCAUUUCCUCGUGCAUGCGUCCUGGUAGUUUUGCGGCUGACCAGCAGCAGAGGCUGAUUUCCUCAUGCAUGGCCUGCACCAGCAUGCACACACACGCGCGCACACACACACUCUCACUC
Molecule: long non-coding RNA, 563 nt
Organism: Ictalurus punctatus (channel catfish)
Lineage: Eukaryota; Metazoa; Chordata; Actinopteri; Siluriformes; Ictaluridae
Source: Ensembl